RNAcentral lists this ribosomal RNA (253 nucleotides) under uncultured bacterium. RNAcentral's name for it is "partial 16S ribosomal RNA". It matches the Rfam family "Bacterial small subunit ribosomal RNA", at positions 524 to 776 of the family's 1533-position model. The record is from RNAcentral.
UACGGAGGGUGCAAACGUUGCUCGGAAUCAUUGGGCGUAAAGCGCACGUAGGCGGCUUGUUAAGUCGGAUGUGAAAGCCCUGGGCUCAACCCAGGAAGUGCAUUCGAAACUGGCGAGCUUGAAUAUGGAAGAGGGUCGCGGAAUUCCCGGUGUAGAGGUGAAAUUCGUAGAUAUCGGGAGGAACACCAGUGGCGAAGGCGGCGACCUGGGCCAAUAUUGACGCUGAGGAGCGAAAGCGUGGGGAGCGAACAGG